CCUACGGGAGGCAGCAGUGGGGGAUAUUGGACAAUGGGGGGACCCCUGAUCCAGCGACGCCGCGGGAGUGAAGAAGUAUUUCGGUAUGUACAGCUCUGUCAGCAGGGAAGAAAGAAAUGACGGUACCUGACCAAGAAGCCCCGGCUAAAUACGUGCCAGCAGCCGGGGUAAUACGUAGGGGGCAAGCGUUAUCCGGAAUUACUGGGUGUAAAGGGAGCGUAGACGGUUAAGUAAGUCUGGAGGUAAAGGCCGGGGCCCAAACCCGGGACUGCUCUGGAACCUAUUGAACUUGAGUGCAGGGGAGGGAAGCGGAAUUCCUAGUGUAGCGGUGAAAUGCGUAGAUAUUAGGAGGAACACCAGUGGCGAAGGCGGCUUACUGGACUGUAACUGACGUUGAGGCCCGAAAGCGUGGGGAGCAAACAGGAUUAGAUACCCGUGUAGUC
RNAcentral lists this ribosomal RNA (443 nucleotides) under uncultured bacterium. RNAcentral's name for it is "partial 16S ribosomal RNA". It matches the Rfam family "Bacterial small subunit ribosomal RNA", at positions 338 to 795 of the family's 1533-position model. The record is from RNAcentral.